Molecule: long non-coding RNA, 266 nt
Filed under: Brassica napus (rape)
Lineage: Eukaryota; Viridiplantae; Streptophyta; Magnoliopsida; Brassicales; Brassicaceae
Description: long non-coding RNA (BNAP_LNC025724)
Source: RNAcentral
AUUUAGGGUUUAGGGUUUACAGUUGAGGAGUGGGGUUUUGGGGAUAGGAUUUCAAAUUUUAAAAAAUAAAAAAGAAAUUAAAAAUUUAAAAUAAAAAAUAAAAAAUGUAAUUUUAGUCAUUUUAGUUUUUGAUGUCUAUUUUUGUGACAUAAACCUCUAUCUAAGAGAAUUACCCCGAACUAAAUCUAACCCAAUUAUUCAGUAUCUUAUACAAUAAAUGAGGCUUUUUUCUCUCCAUAGGGCAUAGGGCGUUUGAUGACACAUGG